Oxyura jamaicensis (ruddy duck) is the source of this 367-nucleotide long non-coding RNA. RefSeq lists it as uncharacterized. Lineage: Eukaryota; Metazoa; Chordata; Aves; Anseriformes; Anatidae. The transcript has 4 exons. The record is from RefSeq and is a predicted model, not a curated record.
CAGGUCCCCAUGGGGCUCCAACAGGUCCCCAUGGGGCUCCACCAGGUCCCCACGGACCCCAUGGAGCUCCACCAGGUCCCCAUGGGGCUCCACAUCAUCCCCAUGGGGUUCCCAUGAGGUCCCCAUGGGGCUGCCACCUCCCCCAGGAGGUCCCCAUGGAGCUCCACGAGGUUCCACCAAGACCCCAUGGAGCUCCACCAGGUCCCUAUGGAGCUCCACCAGGUCCCUAUGGACCCCAUGGAGCUCCAGGAGGUCCCCAUGGGGUUCUACAAGGUCCCUAUGGGGUUCCACAAGGUCCCCAUGGGGUUCCACCAAGUCCCCAUGGAGCUCCACCAGGUCCCCAUGGGGCUCCACCAGGUCCCCAUGG